Molecule: ribosomal RNA, 253 nt
Filed under: uncultured bacterium
Lineage: Bacteria
Description: partial 16S ribosomal RNA
Rfam family: Bacterial small subunit ribosomal RNA
Source: RNAcentral
UACGGAGGGUGCGAGCGUUGUCCGGAAUCACUGGGCGUAAAGGGCGCGUAGGCGGCCCGGUAAGUAGGGGGUGAAAUCUUGCGGCUUAACCGCAAGGCUGCCUUCUAAACUGCCAGGCUUGAGCACAGUAGAGGCAGGUGGAAUUCCCGGUGUAGCGGUGGAAUGCGUAGAGAUCGGGAAGAACAUCGGUGGCGAAGGCGGCCUGCUGGGCUGUUGCUGACGCUGAGGCGCGACAGCGUGGGGAGCAAACAGG